CGGAGGAACAUGUGGUUUAAUUCGAUGAUACGCGAGGAACCUUACCUGGCUUAAAUGUAGAGUGCAUUUUUUAGAGAUAGAAAUCCUUCGGGGCUUUCUGCAAGGUGCUGCAUGGUUGUCGUCAGCUCGUGCCGUGAGGUGUCGGGUUAAGUCCCAUAACGAGCGCAACCCUUAUCGUUAGUUGCCAUCUGGUAAUGCAGGGGACUCUAGCGAAACUGCCACCGUAAGGUGAGAGGAAGGUGGGGAUGACGUCAAAUCAGCACGGCCCUUAUGUCCAGGGCUACACACGUGUUACAAUGGUCGGUACAGAGGGCAGCUACCUGGUGACAGGAUGCUAAUCUCGAAAACCGGUCUCAGUUCGGAUCGAAGUCUGCAACUCGACUUCGUGAAGCUGGAUUCGCUAGUAAUCGCGCAUCAGCUAUGGCGCGGUGAAUACGUUCCCGGGCCUU
This 449-nucleotide ribosomal RNA is filed under the name uncultured Sphingobacteriales bacterium. RNAcentral's name for it is "bacterial SSU rRNA". It matches the Rfam family "Bacterial small subunit ribosomal RNA", at positions 930 to 1382 of the family's 1533-position model. Lineage: Bacteria; Pseudomonadati; Bacteroidota; Sphingobacteriia; Sphingobacteriales. The record is from RNAcentral.